UUCCCACCUUCCCUAUCCUAACGGAAACUGCAGGUAGAUGAACACUAGCUGUCAUCUGCCACCUCAACGACCGACCCUCGUCCACUUCUACCACCGCCGCGAUUCGAGUCGGUCGACGCACCUUACGCUCCCGUCACUCAAUCAGCGAUAGAAGCACACUUCGCCGCGUACUACAACACACGUAGCUCUACGCCGCGCACCGGUGCAUCAGCACAUCAACCUGGAGAAGAACGGGUGGAAAAAUCGAAGAGGUCAAACGCAUUUGCGCAGCCGGACAACCGUUCCUGCCAGGUCAGUUUCUUCCUUCAAACUUCCCCCUUGCUCCUCCAUUUCAUGGUCCUUCGUAAACCGGAUAUUCCCUAUUCCAGUCCAUCCCGGUUUAUUAUUUACAAACAUUUGUCUAAACUUCAGCACGUAACUGAAGUCUUCUAGUCAGCUGUUUUGUGUGUGUCAUCGUGACGUCACCUAGUUUUUUCCCUUUGUCUAUGGUCAAUCGGUAAGAAUCGGUUAGUCGAGUAGUGUCUAUCACUACUCAACUUCAAUCAGUAUUCCGAGGAUAGCACAGAGUAGAAGUUUGACGUCUGACACAUUACUUUUUUAAUUCAACUGGGACUGUUUAGGUUAUAUUUUUAUUGUCGUAAAUCAAAUAAGAUAUAAUGAUGAAAUCUGAAAUUAAACAUGUUAAGGGUGCCUCAGCCGACCCUAUUAAAAUAUAGCUUAGUGGCUCUUUGGGGGGCGGUUUAUGUUGGGGCCAUAGGCAUAGGGUCAAGGAACUUCGUGGGUACACACACAAACAGCUGACAGACAGGUACACAGAUGUUUGUAACUCCUUCCCACCUUCCCUAUCCUAACGGAAACUGCAGGUAGAUGAACACUAGCUGUCAUCUGCCACCUCAACGACCGACCCUCGUCCACUUCUACCACCGCCGCGAUUCGAGUCGGUCGACGCACCUUACGCUCCCGUCACUCAAUCAGCGAUAGAAGCACACUUCGCCGCGUACUACAACACACGUAGCUCUACGCCGCGCACCGGUGCAUCAGCACAUCAACCUGGAGAAGAACGGGUGGAAAAAUCGAAGAGGUCAAACGCAUUUGCGCAGCC
Molecule: non-coding RNA, 1102 nt
Organism: Plutella xylostella (diamondback moth)
Lineage: Eukaryota; Metazoa; Arthropoda; Insecta; Lepidoptera; Plutellidae
Source: RefSeq, a predicted model, not a curated record